ACCGUAUCUAGUGGUUAUGGUUCCCCGAUUCGGUAGAUUUGGGGCUAAGACGGGAAUUCGGUGCGGCGGGCUUUCUGCUAAAUCCGGAGCUGUCCCCGCAACUGUGAGCGGCGAGUUUUUGCCCUUUCAUGCCACUGAAUGCCCGGAGCGAGGCCGGGAUUCGGGAAGGCCGGGCAAGCAACGGCGACCCGCAAGCCAGGAGACCUGCCAUGACCAGACGUAUGAC
This 226-nucleotide non-coding RNA is filed under the name Oceanibaculum indicum. RNAcentral also lists the same sequence under 1 other name. Lineage: Bacteria; Pseudomonadati; Pseudomonadota; Alphaproteobacteria; Rhodospirillales; Oceanibaculaceae. The record is from RNAcentral.